RNAcentral lists this long non-coding RNA (606 nucleotides) under Nicotiana tabacum (common tobacco). Its description in RNAcentral is "long non-coding RNA (NTAB_LNC000359)". The record is from RNAcentral. Lineage: Eukaryota; Viridiplantae; Streptophyta; Magnoliopsida; Solanales; Solanaceae.
AUUUGCCAGGAAACUCAUAAAAUUGAUGAAAGAAGAUAUGAAUGCUCAGUUCAGGGUUGGAGCCCUAAGGCUGGCGGGAUGGAAAUAGUUCAGUUCGGGGUUGGAACUCUAAUACCGACUAGCUGGGGAGAAGUUCAGUUUAGAGUUGAAACUCUAAUGCUGAUCAACUGGGGGAAAGUUCAGUUUAGGGUUGGGGCCCUAAUGCUGACUGAGUGGACAUGAGUUCAGUUCAGGGUUUAAAACCCCAAUACGGACUGGCUGGAAAGAGUUUAGUUCAUCUUUGACUGGCUUAUUAAAGGGAAAGGUUCAGUGUAGGGUUUAAAACCCUAAUGCUGACUGAAUGGAAAAGUUCAGUUUAGGGUUUAAAACCCUAAUGCUGAUUAAAGGGAAAAGUUCAGUUUAGGGUUUAAAACCCUAAUGCUGACUGAAUGGAAAAGUUUAGUUUAGAGUUAAAAACCCUAAUGCUAACUGAAUGGAAAAGUUCAGUUUAGGGUUUAAAACCCUAAUGCUGACUAAAGGAAAAAGUUCAGUUUAGGGUUUAAAACCCUAAUGUUGACUAAAGGAAAAAGUUCAGUUUAGGGUUUAAAACCCUAAUGCUGACUGAAA